This 807-nucleotide ribosomal RNA is filed under the name Streptococcus suis. RNAcentral describes it as "bacterial SSU rRNA". It matches the Rfam family "Bacterial small subunit ribosomal RNA", at positions 44 to 836 of the family's 1533-position model. The record is from RNAcentral. Lineage: Bacteria; Bacillati; Bacillota; Bacilli; Lactobacillales; Streptococcaceae.
GUGCUAUACAUGCAAGUAGAACGCUGAAGUCUGGUGCUUGCACUAGACGGAUGAGUUGCGAACGGGUGAGUAACGCGUAGGUAACCUGCCUCAUAGCGGGGGAUAACUAUUGGAAACGAUAGCUAAUACCGCAUAACAGUAUUUACCGCAUGGUAGAUGCUUGAAAGGAGCAACUGCUUCACUAUGAGAUGGACCUGCGUUGUAUUAGCUAGUUGGUGAGGUAACGGCUCACCAAGGCUUCGAUACAUAGCCGACCUGAGAGGGUGAUCGGCCACACUGGGACUGAGACACGGCCCAGACUCCUACGGGAGGCAGCAGUAGGGAAUCUUCGGCAAUGGGGGCAACCCUGACCGAGCAACGCCGCGUGAGUGAAGAAGGUUUUCGGAUCGUAAAGCUCUGUUGUAAGAGAAGAACUGUGAGAAGAGUGGAAAGUUUCUCACUUGACGGUAUCUUACCAGAAAGGGACGGCUAACUACGUGCCAGCAGCCGCGGUAAUACGUAGGUCCCGAGCGUUGUCCGGAUUUAUUGGGCGUAAAGCGAGCGCAGGCGGUUUGAUAAGUCUGAAGUAAAAGGCUGUGGCUUAACCAUAGUACGCUUUGGAAACUGUCAAACUUGAGUGCAGAAGGGGAGAGUGGAAUUCCAUGUGUAGCGGUGAAAUGCGUAGAUAUAUGGAGGAACACCGGUGGCGAAAGCGGCUCUCUGGUCUGUAACUGACGCUGAGGCUCGAAAGCGUGGGGAGCGAACAGGAUUAGAUACCCUGGUAGUCCACGCCGUAAACGAUGAGUGCUAGGUGUUGGGGUCCUUUCC